UGAUAUUUCUAGCUACGGUUUGCCCUA
RNAcentral lists this non-coding RNA (27 nucleotides) under Mus musculus (house mouse). Lineage: Eukaryota; Metazoa; Chordata; Mammalia; Rodentia; Muridae. The record is from RNAcentral.